Molecule: non-coding RNA, 161 nt
Filed under: Chroomonas cf. mesostigmatica
Lineage: Eukaryota; Cryptophyceae; Pyrenomonadales; Chroomonadaceae
Source: RNAcentral
GACCUGCCGGAAGGGGCCCUGGUGGCGUCUGUGCCGUACGAGUGCAUGCUCUCCGUCGAUUGGGCGUUUCGCACGGAGCUCGCCGUCUUCCUGCGGGAGGCGCGGGAGGGGGGGGACCCGCGGCUGGCCAUUAUCGUGGACGAGGAGCGGCGCAGGUGGGA